Molecule: long non-coding RNA, 2597 nt
Organism: Acanthopagrus latus (yellowfin seabream)
Lineage: Eukaryota; Metazoa; Chordata; Actinopteri; Spariformes; Sparidae
Exons: 3
Source: RefSeq, a predicted model, not a curated record
AAACCGUUGAGCGUCUCACUUCAGGGCUCUUCCUGUUUGAGUUUCCUCCUCAGGCCCAGACGGAGCAGACGUCCCUGCAGGAUAAUACUCGGAUGAGCACUAUCUGCAGAGAGCAGCCACGAAUCUGCCCAAACUGCACUCAGGACAGGAAACUAUUGAUGACCUUCAUGUAGGCGGUGAGACAAGAAAAACCUAAUUAUGGCUCAGAAUAUCUCAAAAAUGUUACAGAUGGGUGGAGGGCAGUGGAUAUGGUGUGAACUACGCUGGAGCGUGUCAUUGCACAGGAGAACGACUGCAUCUGCUCACAGACGAGAGGCUUGUGAUACCACGGAAAGUAAACGUUAACGUUAGCUCACUUCCUUAGCGUAAUUAGCUAGCUGCACAUCCAAACGUAGACGCGUUUCCUUCUGUGCGGUUACAUCGUUUAGUUAAGUAGAAAGGAAAUUGUCCGUACAUGAAGCGGCUCACAACAAGGCCUGUGGAUUAAUCGUGAGAAACCAGGUCAUGAAUUUGAGUUUUUCAAAUUUACAUGUUUUUCUGCAUUUUGAGCACCACACACUGGCUGUUAUCUCUUUCCAUUAUUUUCAAGGGAAGAGAGACAUCUCUUUGGCCGAUGUCUGUAAAAUUCUGCAACCCACACAAACACAAUCUAGAUCGGUAACAAGAAUAAACUGUUCCUUUAAUAACAAAUGACAUCUUGGGAAAAUAAGCCACUUGAAAUGCUGAGUGAAAGUGUUAAAGGAGAACGUUUUGCUUCGGAUUUCAAAGGAUUUAACAUCACCGACUGAAUCAAAACAAGAGCCUACUCCAGUUUCACUGCUUGCACAUUCACUUUCAGUUGUUUAUUUUCUAAUGGACCAGAAGUCUGCGUAAACACAGCCCUGUAAAUAUUUGACAAAUAAAGAGUUUCAUAAACGUAACAAAGAUAUCUGAUUUGUGCAGCUGCCGCUUCUAUCGCUGUUUAUUGCUGAUGAUAUUUUCACCUGAAACACUGAUAUCAUCACGUUGUUUGUCCUCCAGGAAGUUCCUGCGACUGCUUGUUAAUUGUUGCUGAGGGGCCAAAGUUUGACAAAAACAACAAGCUGAACGACCAGUUUUGAGUUUGAGCGACUCAAAGAAGGGAAAACAAGGACCGACAGAACAUAAACCAGCAUUACUUCAUCGUGGCGUCGGAUUGCAAGCGAGUCUUCGCUUUCCUAAUCAGCUCUUCUGCUCUCGCGUCCAGGCGAGGUCAUCCUUCCCUCAGCCGGCGCAGCGCUCAUCCAUUUCCUUCCAACACCUCGAGAUCUGAUUUCCAUCACUGACUCAUAACAUGUCCCACUGCAGACUCUUUUCCAAACGAUGCUACCAGCCGUCUUCACCCCGGUUUGGUUAUUAUCUUAACAAUGAGCUGUAGUAACAUCUCAGACACUAACCCUAACCCCAAGAUGCACUGCAGCUUUUUUAUUAUUAUUAAUUAAUUACAUUUAUUUGAAAAAGGAAGGUGUAAAUUAGUUAUAAUAUAUAUAAUAUAACUAACACAAUAUGUACACGAUAGUUAAAAACAUCCUACAUGGUGGUAAAAAGCAGACACACUAUGAUCUACUAGCAGAUGAUUGAGGUAUGAUUUGAUCACAGUGAGUAAAAGCAUCAGAUAAUCAGAUGGUACGUUUCAUAUUUACUGUCAUGUUGAAGGGUUUUUAGUCCUUGCAGCACGCAACCUGUUGGAUCGAGGGCCUCGGUCUUAUAUCUGUCCCGGACAGAGUUCAACCUCGAGGCUCUGACACAGAAAAUACAGGGCAGGGAAGUAAACAUUUUCCUAAAUGAGUAAACAUUUGGCAGCCAAAGUCGAAUAAGUCUGGAGAUAUGUCGAUUUUGGGCCAUAUUUUUAGAGCCUUUGUGAAAUGUUUUAAAAUGAAACAGGAAGUUGGGAAGUUUAUGCCCCUGGCGCCCACCCUGCUUCCCCCUGUGAGCCAAGAGAGACGUGAGGAUGGAGAUUAAACAGCGUGUCAACAGUUUGGCUUCUGCCAAAGGGCGGGUAGUAUAGCUCCAACAUUGUUUAAUGACACAGAUAUUCAAAAUCACUGGCGUUCAUCUUAAAGGGGCCAAUUCCACACAUGGAGAUCAGCUUACUUGUCAUGAGGAGUCACCGUGUGGGACAGUUGUUUAAUGUUUCCUGUGGCCCUGGAGAAUCGUUGAUUUUAGAGCUAAAUACUUGUAUGUACACACUGAACUGAAGUAAAACCAUUUAUUCAUAUAAAGAUGUUGGUUGAACUUUUAAGUUUCCUUUUUAAGUUUUCCUUUACAUUUAACUUUUUAUUGUUUAUAAGACAUGUGUUGACAUAUAAAUGAUUUAUGACAAGCUGUCAUUGAGUUUUCAGCAGAAAUAAGGCCAUUUUUUGUGUUAAGUUGUGUUAAGCUGUGUUUCACUUUAUUGUUCAAUAUCUGUUUAUAGGGUCUAUAUCUGGGUGAGGAUUUAUAGUGGUUGACAACUGCAUUAAUAAACACUUUUAUCUGCUUAUAAGUACAUUAUGAUGCAUUAUAAAAAAGUUAUUACAUGCAGAAAUCACUGGUGCGGCCUUUGACACCUGAUGGUUUCAAAAAUAUAGUUUUAAUCA